UGGAGUGUCACAGGUUCCCAUACAGAAUGGUGGCCCCGGUGCCUGUCAGCGGGCCUCGGAGCUGGAGCUGGAGUGGUUCACGGAGCCGGGUGAGAUGUUAUCACAGGGACACAGCCAUCACUAGAUCACAGCGAGGAUAAAGGACAGCAGCUGAGAGCUUCUGUUAUGACUUUCACGUACUGAUAUUUUAACCGAAGAGGCUGUUUGUGAUUUCAGUGGAUAGAAUCAAAUGAUGCCCCGUUUUAAUCCAAUUCUAUAACCAGCUUUAUUUAUUUGAUGAUUUCUUACUACCAAAAA
This 297-nucleotide long non-coding RNA is filed under the name Bos taurus (domestic cattle). RNAcentral describes it as "long non-coding RNA NONBTAT012632". The record is from RNAcentral. Lineage: Eukaryota; Metazoa; Chordata; Mammalia; Artiodactyla; Bovidae.